Myotis davidii is the source of this 74-nucleotide non-coding RNA. The record is from Rfam. NCBI's taxonomy places the organism in Eukaryota, Metazoa, Chordata, Mammalia, Chiroptera, Vespertilionidae.
GGCAGUUCUCAGGUGAUGCACCCCAGAAUCGGACUCCUUCCUCUCUGGUCUGGCUGCGUCAUCCGAGAACCACU